Molecule: ribosomal RNA, 551 nt
Filed under: uncultured bacterium
Lineage: Bacteria
Description: partial 16S ribosomal RNA
Rfam family: Bacterial small subunit ribosomal RNA
Source: RNAcentral
UGGGGAAUUUUGGACAAUGGGGGCAACCCUGAUCCAGCAAUGCCGCGUGAGUGAAGAAGGCCUUCGGGUUGUAAAGCUCUUUUGUCCGGGAAGAAAUCCCACCUGUUAAUACCGGGUGGGGAUGACGGUACUGGAAGAAUAAGCACCGGCUAACUACGUGCCAGCAGCCGCGGUAAUACGUAGGGUGCGAGCGUUAAUCGGAAUUACUGGGCGUAAAGCGUGCGCAGGCGGUUGUGCAAGACCGAUGUGAAAUCCCCGGGCUUAACCUGGGAACUGCAUUGGUGACUGCACGGCUAGAGUGUGUCAGAGGGGGGUAGAAUUCCACGUGUAGCAGUGAAAUGCGUAGAGAUGUGGAGGAAUACCGAUGGCGAAGGCAGCCCCCUGGGAUAACACUGACGCUCAUGCACGAAAGCGUGGGGAGCAAACAGGAUUAGAUACCCUAGUAGUCCACGCCCUAAACGAUGUCAACUAGUUGUCGGGUCUUAAUUGACUUGGUAACGCAGCUAACGCGUGAGGUUGACCGCCUGGGGAGUACGGUCGCAAGAUUAAAA